This 497-nucleotide ribosomal RNA is filed under the name uncultured bacterium. RNAcentral's name for it is "partial 16S ribosomal RNA". It matches the Rfam family "Bacterial small subunit ribosomal RNA", at positions 28 to 507 of the family's 1533-position model. The record is from RNAcentral.
GAUGAACGCUGGCGGCGUGCCUAAUACAUGCAAGUCGAGCGAACAGACGAGGAGCUUGCUCCUCUGACGUUAGCGGCGGACGGGUGAGUAACACGUGGAUAACCUACCUAUAAGACUGGGAUAACUUCGGGAAACCGGAGCUAAUACCGGAUAAUAUAUUGAACCGCAUGGUUCAAUAGUGAAAGACGGUUUUGCUGUCACUUAUAGAUGGAUCCGCGCCGCAUUAGCUAGUUGGUAAGGUAACGGCUUACCAAGGCAACGAUGCGUAGCCGACCUGAGAGGGUGAUCGGCCACACUGGAACUGAGACACGGUCCAGACUCCUACGGGAGGCAGCAGUAGGGAAUCUUGCGCAAUGGGCGAAAGCCUGACGGAGCAACGCCGCGUGAGUGAUGAAGGUCUUCGGAUCGUAAAACUCUGUUAUUAGGGAAGAACAAAUGUGUAAGUAACUAUGCACGUCUUGACGGUACCUAAUCAGAAAGCCCCGGCUAACUACGUG